RNAcentral lists this ribosomal RNA (532 nucleotides) under Alternaria solani. Its description in RNAcentral is "eukaryotic LSU rRNA". The stretch from base 157 to 310 matches the Rfam family "5.8S ribosomal RNA". Lineage: Eukaryota; Fungi; Ascomycota; Dothideomycetes; Pleosporales; Pleosporaceae. The record is from RNAcentral.
UUGAGGCGGGCUGGACCUCUCGGGGUUACAGCCUUGCUGAAUUAUUCACCCUUGUCUUUUGCGUACUUCUUGUUUCCUUGGUGGGUUCGCCCACCACUAGGACAAACAUAAACCUUUUGUAAUUGCAAUCAGCGUCAGUAACAAAUUAAUAAUUACAACUUUCAACAACGGAUCUCUUGGUUCUGGCAUCGAUGAAGAACGCAGCGAAAUGCGAUAAGUAGUGUGAAUUGCAGAAUUCAGUGAAUCAUCGAAUCUUUGAACGCACAUUGCGCCCUUUGGUAUUCCAAAGGGCAUGCCUGUUCGAGCGUCAUUUGUACCCUCAAGCUUUGCUUGGUGUUGGGCGUCUUGUCUCUAGCUUUGCUGGAGACUCGCCUUAAAGUAAUUGGCAGCCGGCCUACUGGUUUCGGAGCGCAGCACAAGUCGCACUCUCUAUCAGCAAAGGUCUAGCAUCCAUUAAGCCUUUUUUUCAACUUUUGACCUCGGAUCAGGUAGGGAUACCCGCUGAACUUAAGCAUAUCAAUAAGCGGAGGAA